RNAcentral lists this ribosomal RNA (342 nucleotides) under Clostridioides difficile. Its description in RNAcentral is "bacterial LSU rRNA". It matches the Rfam family "Bacterial large subunit ribosomal RNA", at positions 1957 to 2297 of the family's 2925-position model. Lineage: Bacteria; Bacillati; Bacillota; Clostridia; Peptostreptococcales; Peptostreptococcaceae. The record is from RNAcentral.
UAGCGAAAUUCCUUGUCGGGUAAGUUCCGACCCGCACGAAAGGCGUAACGAUUUGGGCACUGUCUCAACAACAGACUCGGUGAAAUUGUAAUUCCGGUGAAGAUGCCGGAUACCUGCGACAGGACGGCAAGACCCCAUGGAGCUUUACUGUAGCUUGACAUUGGGUCUUGGUACUACAUGUACAGGAUAGGUGGGAGGCUUUGAAACCAGGACGCCAGUUUUGGCGGAGCCAUCCUUGGGAUACCACCCUUGUAGUACUGGGACUCUAACCAUAGGCCAUGAAUCUGGUCUUGGGACACUGUCAGGUGGGCAGUUUGACUGGGGCGGUCGCCUCCCAAAAGG